GUGUUGAGAGUGGCGAGUGCUUCGUUGCAGGGUCGAGCUGCCCUGACAGGAGGUGGCACUUCUGACACAGGCAAUGCCACAGGCCGCGUUGGUAGCUGAUAAACACAGUGAUGGAGCUGCCGGGAAUGGCAUCUCUGUGGCACGCCAGUUGCAGUUUGUAAAGAUGGAGUUUCAAGCAGUGCUGAUGGCGGCAGGUGGGGGAUCCCGAAUGAUGGACCUAACUUCCAGCAUCCCUAAGCCCCUCCUGCCAGUAGGCAACAAACCUUUAAUCUGGUACCCAUUAAAUCUGUUAGAGCGAAUUGGAUUUGAAGAGGUCAUUGUGGUUACAACCAAAGAAGUCCAGAAGCUGCUAAACCUAGACACAAAGAUGAAAUUAGAUAUAGUGUGCAUCCCCGAUGAUGCAGACAUGGGUACUGCAGACUCACUAAGGCAUAUUCAUCAGAAAAUUAAGACUGAUGUCUUGGUACUGAGCUGUGAUCUGAUCACAGAUGUUGCUUUACAUGAGGUUGUGGAUUUGUUUCGAGCCCAUGAUGCCACACUCUCCAUGUUGAUGAAAAAAGCUCAUGAACCCGCAGAAAUGGUACCAGGACAGAAAGGGAAAAAAAAGCCAGUGGAGCAGCGUGACUUCAUUGGAGUGGAUGACACAGGAAAGCGGUUGCUCUUCAUGGCUAAUGAAGCUGACUUGGAUGAAGAACUUGUCAUUAAGAGAUCCCUCCUUCAGAAGCAUCCUCGAAUGCACAUCAGGACAGGGCUGGCGGAUGCCCAUCUAUACUGCCUGAAGAAAUACGUGGUGGACUUCCUUGCAGAAAACAGGUCAUUAACAUCUAUCCGAAGUGAACUGAUUCCAUAUCUAGUUAGGAAACAGUUUUCCUCUCCUGCAUCAUUACGACAAGGACAGGACAACAAAGAGCAGGAUCAAAAGUCAUUAGACAUCUACAGUUACGUGAAGGGUGAUAGCUUGCUGGAAUUUGCUCCUGAUAAAUCAUGUUGGAAUGGUCACAGCGCAGAUCUGAAUGAAGCCUUCCACGGAGGAAAAAUGCGUUGCUACGUCCAUAUCAUGAAAGAGGGGCUCUGCUACCGAGUGAACACUCUUGGGUUAUACAUUGAAGCAAACAGACAGGUUCCUAAGCUGUUACCUGCUCUUGUGUAUCCAGAAGAACCAUUGGUUCACGUGUCCGCUCAAGUCACCGACAGAGGCCUGAUUGGAUCUGACAGCAUCAUUGGUUCAUCCACGCAGGUUGGAGAGAAGACAUCCAUUAAACACUCCAUCAUCGGCUCCACGUGCACCAUAAAAGACAGAGUUAAAAUAACUAACUGCAUCAUCAUGAACUCUGUCACAAUUGAGGAAGGAUGCAGCCUCCAGAGCUGCCUCAUCUGUCAUUACGCCGUGAUAGAGAAAGGAGCUGACCUCCGGGACUGUUUGAUUGGAAGCAGCCAGCGUCUGGAACCCAAAUCCAAACAUGUUAACGAAGUCAUUGUGGGCAGCGAACAGCUGAUGGAAAUCUAACAUGCCAGUUGUAAAGAUGCCUUUAAGGAAGCCAGAGCCCGCACCUUCGGAAGACCCUUCGUCUGGAGCAGGCCUGGCAGAGCUUACCCUGUCAUCGCUCCUUUCCAGUGCAACUUGGUGUUUGCUGUGAGAUAAAAGUAGAUUGCAGAGCAAGAUUUCACCGCCCAAAUUAUCAAAGCGAAGAGUCCCUCUUGAAGUGACCCGUGUGGCAGUAAUGCCGAAGAGUGUUUCAGAAGAGUGGUUCCUUCACAACCCCCCAGGCAGCACCGGGAAUUAACCCUUGCUGACCUGCUGUGGACUUCGUGUACCAGAUGAGUCUACGAAACCAGCGAUCAGGGGACAUUUUCAAAAGUGCCUCAGUGACUAAGCGCCUUGAUGAGUUUUGAAAAUAGGACUUAGGCUCCUAAGUCACUGACGUGCUUUGGAAAAUAUCAUCGCAUGGCUCUCUGGGAGUGCGAAUGUGACUCUUCCAUACAGCGCACACCCCCGUACAUGCAGCUCUUCUCGCUGUUGAUUUCCCGUGCUGUAGCAAUUGAGCAAGCUGUUGUCUCUUACCCGUUUGCAAUGCACCAAUCCCCAGGGUCUUGAGGCACCCUGACCGUGAUGGGCAAAGCAGCGUACCUUUGAAAGGCUCAGACCUGACAACCCUCUGUAGAUGCUGGCACUUUCGGAGCAAGCUUGUCCUUGAGCAUUUCCAAGUGGACACAGAGCUGGCGGUUGGUGUCACUGAUGUGAGAAGACUAAUGAAACAGGCAAGUCCUGGAGGACGCCCAGAAUGUAGGCUCACCGUUUCCAGUGGCAGGGAGCUCACCAGCGGAGGGCCUGGCGGCAUGAACAUCCAACCCUUGGCUCCUCAGCAGGGUCUCGACCUCAGACUUAGCGAGGAGUCAGCCCAUUGGGCGCUUUAUGGCUCAGCAGCAUCUCGGGGAUUGGCGAGGAGGCAGCGUCAGGCCUGGCGUGCCGACAUGUGGCCUGGCCGCUGAAUGCUGGGCCAGCCAACGGUUCGUGUGGCCUUCUCCUUCAGUCCUAGUAGCCCGUUGCAGACAUUCAGCCUCGGGGGUGACGGCAUGGAAAGCUAUUGCUUUGGCUUCAUCUAACAGGAAAGAAUGCAACCUGCUGGCUAAGCAGAGAGCAGGCGGCAUUUCAGGCCACAGCUGCUGCUCACCGGGCUAGGAGCAUGGAGAAAUCUGGAAAACCCCUAAGAGAGCAUUUACCUUGACAGUGAGAAGAUACUGUCAGCGGGAGGCAAACUCAGGGCUCACGAUCUAGUGCCCUGCUCCCAUUCACUCCUGCGGUUGCCCCACGUUGUUGAAACAGGCAGCCCAAGGGUAUGUGAGCUCCGUAACACCAGUGACCUGGCCAUCUGGGAGACGUGAUGAGCUGGUAGGAGGAGAGAAGCAGCUUGUGGCCAGUUGUGCCCACUGCCAUUGACCUGGGGCCUCCCCUAUCAGUCAGGGGUAGAUGGGCCUGGUGCUAAUCAGAACUUUCAGAUCCACUGACCUUUGGAGACUAAUCAUCUGGACCUUGGAGUGUAGCCUGGGGGGCACAAAGGAAGGUAAACUGACCUCCUGCCACAGACACUCAGGACGUCCAGUGAGCAUGAUGGUUCCUUCCCACAGCCGUGUGCCCUGCUGGUGGGAGAGGACAGAGACCGGCUGGUAUUUACUUGGGGCGAUGUGGCUGCUUUGUUCACAGUGCUAACGCCAAUAUCAUUCAGCUCACAAAAACCAGACCUGAAGCUGAAAUGCUGGGUCCGAAUCUUACGUUGCGUUUCACGUAAGUCAGAAGACAGGUUCGCCUGGGUUCUAAAAGGGCAGCUGGGUUGUCUCCACAGGCCGUGCCCAAAUCCAUCAUUUUCCCCAAUCCCCUUGUCAGCGUGUCAAGAUCCGCCAGUGCUGAGACCUGUGUUAGGAAGGGUGGCAGCGACUCCCUCAUUCCGUCAGCUUCCCCAGGCACCUGGAACUCCGCCCAUGCGUUUGGCGAUGGCAUGCUGAGUCACGAGCUUAGAUUAUCCUUCGAUUAUGCCGAGCACACCCACGAGUAGCUUCCCAAUAGACAGACAGGCUCCCUCUCCCACAGAGCCUCAAAUGUGGACUUGGACACGACCCCCCAGGGAGCUGUAACACAUGACGGGAGCAAGAGUCUUGUAGGGGUUGAACAGUGAAGUGCUAAUGGAUCCCCCAUCUCAGGGUCAGUUCAGUUGAGCCCUUGUCCAUCGGGGAGAAAGGGGCUUGUGCUAAGGAAUAGGACUGACACAGAUCUCCUGGGCCGGCUGCAGGCAGCCACCUCCCCCUUGAUCUCCUUUCUCCAUCAGUAACGGAGUGUGGGUGGGGGGAAUGAUACCAACAUGCCAGGGCUGGGGAGUCACUGUUCUAAGUGGCAGAGAGCUUGGAGAUCCUUGCGCAGAGGCUGCGAGGGGAUGAACAAGUCUUAGUCCCUUGCCUGUUGGGCAAGGAAAGCAGACAGCCGGGGCGAGAUUCAGAUUGUCAGCACGAACAGCGACGAGGGGAAAAUCUGGGAAUCCCAGGAGCUCCCAGCGAGUGGAUCCUGGGUGAUCGAGGGGUCAUUCAUUAGCGCUCAAGCGGGAGCUCGAGCUCCCUGGCUGUAGCAGGCCGAGCACCCACUGAUGGCAGCAGGAGCUCAGCCUGGGCGACCGCUGCAGGAUUAGGCCCGUGUAUGGUUUCUUUCUUGUCUCUCUCUGGAUCCUGCAGGUUUUUGGUUCAUCUCCUGGGUGCCAGGAGCCAAGAUGCGCAGCGUCGCCCUGCCUCUUAGACAAAUCAGCCCACAGCAGUUCCUGGAAGGCCUUCUAGAUGGUCCUCUCCGAUCUGGUCAGAUAGAAAUCAGUAAGGCAAGAGAUUAGCAGUCUAUAUAAACUUGUAUGUUUACAGCUUUUAAAAGGCUAAUGCUGAAUUUUUCUUUUUUAAAAGAAAGCAGGAGGGUUGUUGGAGUGAAUUCAAGGACAGCUGAUGAGCCUGGAUCGGCGCCUUUACAACUCAAGGCAAAUAAAUGGUGGGCUGCUUUGGAGAGGAAAAAGGGAUUUUCUUGUUUUUGUUUUUAAGAGAAAAUAAAAGGGCGGCCUGCCGCGUCCCUCCCCCUC
This is a non-coding RNA of Chelonoidis abingdonii (Abingdon island giant tortoise), 4604 nucleotides long. NCBI's taxonomy places the organism in Eukaryota, Metazoa, Chordata, Testudines, Testudinidae. The record is from RefSeq and is a predicted model, not a curated record.